This 394-nucleotide ribosomal RNA is filed under the name Shigella flexneri. Its description in RNAcentral is "bacterial SSU rRNA". It matches the Rfam family "Bacterial small subunit ribosomal RNA", at positions 997 to 1391 of the family's 1533-position model. Lineage: Bacteria; Pseudomonadati; Pseudomonadota; Gammaproteobacteria; Enterobacterales; Enterobacteriaceae. The record is from RNAcentral.
UUUUCAGAGAUGAGAAUGUGCCUUCGGGAACCGUGAGACAGGUGCUGCAUGGCUGUCGUCAGCUCGUGUUGUGAAAUGUUGGGUUAAGUCCCGCAACGAGCGCAACCCUUAUCCUUUGUUGCCAGCGGUCCGGCCGGGAACUCAAAGGAGACUGCCAGUGAUAAACUGGAGGAAGGUGGGGAUGACGUCAAGUCAUCAUGGCCCUUACGACCAGGGCUACACACGUGCUACAAUGGCGCAUACAAAGAGAAGCGACCUCGCGAGAGCAAGCGGACCUCAUAAAGUGCGUCGUAGUCCGGAUUGGAGUCUGCAACUCGACUCCAUGAAGUCGGAAUCGCUAGUAAUCGUGGAUCAGAAUGCCACGGUGAAUACGUUCCCGGGCCUUGUACACACC